AUACGAAGGGGGCUAGCGUUGCUCGGAAUCACUGGGCGUAAAGGGCGCGUAGGCGGCUUAUCAAGUCGGGGGUGAAAGCCCGUGGCUCAACCACGGAAUGGCCUUCGAUACUGGUAGGCUUGAGACCGGAAGAGGACAGCGGAACUGCGAGUGUAGAGGUGAAAUUCGUAGAUAUUCGCAAGAACACCAGUGGCGAAGGCGGCUGUCUGGUCCGGUUCUGACGCUGAGGCGCGAAAGCGUGGGGAGCAAACAGGA
RNAcentral lists this ribosomal RNA (255 nucleotides) under uncultured prokaryote. RNAcentral describes it as "partial 16S ribosomal RNA". It matches the Rfam family "Bacterial small subunit ribosomal RNA", at positions 523 to 777 of the family's 1533-position model. The record is from RNAcentral.